UUUGGUGGCGAUAGCGAAGAGGUCACACCCGUUCCCAUACCGAACACGGAAGUUAAGCUCUUCAGCGCCGAUGGUAGUUGGGGGGGUUCCCCCUGUGAGAGUAGGACGCCGCCAAGC
This 117-nucleotide ribosomal RNA is filed under the name Bacillus altitudinis. Lineage: Bacteria; Bacillati; Bacillota; Bacilli; Caryophanales; Bacillaceae. The record is from RNAcentral.